GACGGCGUGAAAACGGAAACAACAAGUAUGCCGGCUCACUGUGCUGUAUACAGUUACACACUACGUCGUACGAUUGAGACAAGGAAACUUGGAAUGACUUUUCAUAGAGACUAUGGGUUGAGGAGGAAUUGGAAGUUUGUCGGCUUAGACCUGGUGUCAUUCCAUCAGUGUUAAACUUCCCGGCUCAUCUUGGAAGAGUACGUGCCAGAAAGACCACGACCAAGCAGCCUUGAGAUCUUAGGCAGCGUCUCCCUGAGACCAAAGAACUACAGACUCUUCAGAACCUGCUCAAACUCUUGAUACAGGACCUCACCACACGGGUCAAGAAGGUUUCCAUCUCAUUUCUACUCUGAAGCUCACCUUCUCCUGCUCAAACUGCUGACAAAUGUUUCUGCUGCUCUAAAGUCUGCUCUCCA
This is a long non-coding RNA of Amphiprion ocellaris (clown anemonefish), 416 nucleotides long. NCBI's taxonomy places the organism in Eukaryota, Metazoa, Chordata, Actinopteri, Pomacentridae. The record is from Ensembl.